RNAcentral lists this ribosomal RNA (1353 nucleotides) under Triticum aestivum (bread wheat). Its description in RNAcentral is "partial small subunit ribosomal RNA". The record is from RNAcentral. Lineage: Eukaryota; Viridiplantae; Streptophyta; Magnoliopsida; Poales; Poaceae.
AUGUUUGAACCUCUGAUUUUUGACUUGUGGUAUUUUGGCCAUUUUCUCAAUCCUGCAAGAAAAGCCGCACGAAUCCCGCCUCAUCCAUCUCUUUCCGCCGCAGGUAAGUUGAUGGAGCCCAACGCCGACAAGCUACGCGGUCUUCGCAUCACCUCCCUCGACGAUGAAGAUGAUGAUGAGAUAGAACUGCCCGCGACCGUGGCUGCGGCGGCCUCGGGCUAUGAUGACGAUGACGAGGACGAAGAUGAAGAAGCGGAAGUGAUGCUUGGUUUCCUGGAGAAGCCGAAGCAUCCAGGCCUCCUCCGCCACCUCUUUCCUAGCAAGGCCGGAGGCAUCCCGGCGUGGUUGGAUCCCGUGAACUUGCCCUCGGGGAACUCCAGCUGCUGUGGCUUCUGCGGCGAGCCCCUGCACUUUGUCCUCCAGAUUUAUGCUCCUAUUGAGAGCAAUGCAGCAGCAUUCCACCGCACUCUCUUCAUGUUCAUGUGCCCGUCGAUGGCAUGCUUGCACCGAGACCAGCACGAACAGUGGACACGCAACCAAGGCAAUCCUCGUAGAAGCGUGAGGGUUUUCCGGUGCCAGCUGCCUCGUACCAACGUGUUCUACUCAAGUAAACCUCCAAGUCACAAUAACUCUGACAAGCCACUAUGUGCCGGAGGUACUGCUCUCUGUCAUUGGUGUGGUACAUGGAAAGGGGAUAAAAUAUGUGGUGGCUGCAAGAAAUCACGUUACUGUUCUGAGAAACAUCAGGCACUGCACUGGCGCUCUGGUCAUAAAAAUGAUUGCCUACAGAUAAUCAAUUCUUCUGAAGCUUCAAGUUCUGUGCUGCCAGCUGUAGGAAAAGUUCCAGCUAGGACUUCUUGGCCGGAAUAUCAGAUAGCAAUUGACGAUGAAGUUGAUUUGGAUUCUGAUGGUUGUGAUGAAAACAGCUCAAAAUCCUUGGUGAUGCAAAAGCAUGGUAAACCAGAUGAUACAAUGCAGUCAUGGAUGGAUCAAUUUGAGGCUGAUGCUGACAACCAAUGCUGGGCAUAUUUUCAAGAGCGUAUCUCAAGAGCACCAGAGCAAGUAUUGAGAUACUGUCGAGAUCCAAAUGUAAAACCUCUGUGGGCUUUAUCAGCUGGGCGUCCAUCAAAUCCUGACAUCCCUUCAUGUAGCUACUGUAAAGGUCCACUAUGCUAUGAAUUUCAGAUAAUGCCACAAUUGCUUUAUUACUUUGGUGUGAGAAAUGAACCAGACUCUCUUGAUUGGGCAACAAUUGUUGUGUACACAUGUAAAGGAUCAUGUGAUCAAAGUACUAGCUACAAGGAAGAAUUUGCAUGGGUUCAGUUAUAUCCUACAUCAAUCUCAAGGCCGUAG